GGAGGUGUGGCUCAGGGGCAGAACACUUGCUUUGUGUUCAUGAAGUCCUGGGUUCAUUUUCCAGCACCACUG
This 72-nucleotide transfer RNA is filed under the name Fukomys damarensis (Damara mole-rat). It matches the Rfam family "tRNA". From Rfam's summary of the family: Transfer RNA (tRNA) molecules are approximately 80 nucleotides in length. Their secondary structure includes four short double-helical elements and three loops (D, anti-codon, and T loops). The record is from Rfam by way of RNAcentral. Lineage: Eukaryota; Metazoa; Chordata; Mammalia; Rodentia; Bathyergidae.